This is a long non-coding RNA of Apis cerana (Asiatic honeybee), 1229 nucleotides long. RefSeq lists it as uncharacterized. The record is from RefSeq and is a predicted model, not a curated record. Lineage: Eukaryota; Metazoa; Arthropoda; Insecta; Hymenoptera; Apidae.
UUGAAUUCUGGCAGUUGUAACUCGGCAUUCGUGUAACUAAGAUCGUCGCAUUUAUCGCGAUAUUAUUUCAAUAUAAAUAUUUUAUUAUACAUUGUUAUUUGUACUCAAUACGAAUUACUAAUAUCUCAUACACAUAUUAAUGAUGAUCGAAAUGAUUAUCUUGAUAAAUUUAAAGUGGAAACAAUCGAAGUUUCUAGAACACGAAAAAAUCACUCAAAGUAUUUCUUCCACGUAUAACCGACGCCAUAACACGACUCAAAAAUACUUGGACUGGUCUGUCAGUAGUCGAUAAAACGACAUAGAUAAGGACAAAGUGCUCUGACUAACCAUUUUUAGCACCGAACUCGAAACAAAGCCGAAGGACUGGGGAAUCAAGAGGCAGUGGUGGUCCCUCGAAUGGUUCAUGUACAGAGGUGAACGACACGAAGGAGAACGGGCUUCCCCAGGGUAAUUUUAGAAAUUCCUUGCACGUCAUGGCCCUGUCCUCCUUUGUGUUCGCAUUCAUGUGGAAUUGUAGUAGUCCUGCCGUGGAUUGCUUCUUUCAAGGUACUCGUUGUAGAUUUUACGAAGUUAAACGAUGAGAGAAGAUUGAAAAAUUGCCACUGACAGAAAUUUGAAUCUCUUUUAAAGAAUUUUAAAAAAAAAUGUAUGACACUGUCAAUGAAAUUAUUUUAUCGAAAAAAUAUCUUUAUAAAUACAAUAAAAAUGAAUUAAAAUGUGAAAAAUAAAUAAACUCGAAGCAUUAAACCCAUUUUCAACAAAUGUUAAUUUCGUCUGUAUCUGGCGAUCGUAUAAUUAAGUUUUCCCGAUUCAGAAUCACUACUCUUGCGAAACGAAUCUAGCCUCGAGGAUGUUUAAUCACCUACUUUUUGCUUAAGACGACCGAUUAACUCAGAUUUAUCGAUAUGUAAUUGCUACUUUUGAUGCAAUUCAUAACGAAAAUAAUCCUUAUAAAUAAUAGAUUAGAAUUUUUUGUUUUUGAGCAAUAAUCUACAAUUGUUUUAAUAAUUGCUAUUGAUGUUAUCUAUAAUCGUAUUUCAAAAGAAUUAUAUCGAAUUACGAAACGAAUUAUGAAAUUGCGUAACUAAUAAGAUUUUAUUUAGAAUAAAAUACUCUAAAUAUAGCUUGAUAUAACAUGUAAUAUAUCUUUAUUUAAACUAAAAAUAAAAUUAUAAAUGUUCUUUUUUAUAUAUGAAUAAAUAAAAUUUAAAUAAUGAAAUACUUAAAAA